Molecule: transfer RNA, 72 nt
Filed under: Sphaerodactylus townsendi
Lineage: Eukaryota; Metazoa; Chordata; Lepidosauria; Squamata; Sphaerodactylidae
Description: tRNA-Ala
Source: RNAcentral
GGAGCUGUGGCUCAGAGGUAGAGCCUCGGCUUGGCAUACAGAAGGUCGCAGGUUCAGUCCCCAACAUCUCCA